UGCCCUGCCCCGCCCCGCCCCGCCCCUCCGGGGGUCCCCGCCCCACCCCCUCCCUGCCGGGGGUCGCCCUGCUCGGAGCAGCCGCGCGGAGACUGCGCGGCCUCCGCCUCCGUGCGCUCGCAGUCGUCGCUCCUCGCCCGCCUUUGUUCUCGGACCGCCCCUCUCGCUGGCGACGCUCCGAGAGAGCCGCGGAGCCACCUGCCAGGGCCGCGCUUCCCCGAGCAUCCAAAGCUGUCCCCGCGGGCUGUCGACGCCCGCGCCGGAGCGUGCGGGAGGCACGGCGGGAAGAAGUCGCUGAGAUUUGGCCCUCGCGGCUUUGCGUUCCCGCGUGGUUGAUGCCUCCGCCGAGAACGCGGUCGGCCGGGAGCCGGGGAGGAGCCUGGACGCCGGCCUGGCAGGUACCCCCGCGAGAACGUGGGAGCCGGUGGGUUUCAGAUGCAUUUAUUACUGAUGUCGGGCUGCAUCAGGGCACUUCUAGGACCGCACUGAAAACAGCGGGAAGUGAGGAGCCGAGCCUGGGUCCGGGGCGGCCCGCCAUACAGCUGGCCUGCGUCUCCAGAUGACUUGUUCUGGAGAGUAAAAAAUGCUCUCGGAUUUAAAGUACAAUCCUGUCUCCUUUCCAUUCAUUAGUGUUGCCUACACUCAGCAAACAAAAGUUGGGAAAGAUGAGGGGAGUAUUUCUAGCGCAUCACAUUGACAAACACCGACGUUAACACGCCCGGUCCAGCCUGGCCCACUUGCCUCAGGUCUGAGAGGUCACCACUGACAACGCCCGGACUUCAAGCCACUCCUAAUCCACCUUCGUUCUCUCCGCCGCAGCCAGACCAGCCCUACUGCCCUCGCCUCAACACGCGCAGGUGUAAGCUUCCGCUGCACUCCUUGUCUGAAUCUGCCCAGAAGAAACUGCAUCUUUCAACUAAAUACUUUUCACUGAUAAGGGCCCUCCAGUCAGAUUCUCUAGAUAGAGUUUAGCGUUUUGUGUGUUUUUUUGUUUUUGUGUUUUUUUGUUUUUUUGUUUUAAAUCUUCAGCUAUUUGGUACUCCUUUCCCUCCGGGAUUCUGUCUCUGGAUUGUGAAAGCUGGCAGAAGAUGGAGUCAGGGAAAGCCAUGAUGGGAAGGUUCUCACUAAUAACUGCCUGAUAUAAAUAAUUGGCACAAAAGACUGCCAAAACCACAACCUUGCACAAAGGCCACAAAACUACACAAAAAAAUGCUUCAAGGACAUUUGCACUGCAACUGCCUGUCCAACCUUGGACUGGCCAUCCCCUUUGUUACUUAUCUUUGUAGCCAAGGAUAAUUGUUUCAAAACAACUUACGUGAUCCUCCUCGUUUUUCCUUUUUAAACCCCUUGUCUUCCUUUACCUCCCUGAAUACACCUAUAGUUUAACAUCAUAUUCUACAUUGCAAUGCCCACUCUCGAAUAAAUUUGUCAUGUUUGGCAAACCUGCCUCUUAUUUAGGUUGACAAAUUCAAAUGCAAAUUUAUUCCGGAGUCAACAAAUACUGAUUCAGUCUUCCAAUGUGCAAGGCAAGGAAGAAUAUUAAGGAGGCACUGUAUAGAUUAGAUCCCUGCCUAUAGGCAGCUUCAACACUAAUACAAUAUGGUACGAAUAUACAAUUGUACUUUAAGGCAGCGUAGGUGGGAAAACAACUAGCAACUAAAAAAAAAAAAUGGAGUUUACUACCAACUAAAAAAGUGGAGGUUUCAAGGUUGACAUAGAAUUUGAAAACUGCUUUAAAGACAGGUAGGAAAGAUACAGGUAGAUGUGCAAUGGAAGUAGGCAUUGGGUUUCAAGCCCCAAACUGGCCCAGGGGUGGUAAAAUAGACAUACUCAGGUACAUUAAUCAUUCCAGUUUGGCAUAAGAAUAAGGUAAAUGAAGAUGGAUUCUAGGAGUUAAGGAUGAAAUAUGUAGGGAGGUACUAUGAGGUAAUGGAGAGAACAAAGAUUUAGAGUUAAGACUUUGGUUUGAAUCCCAGCAGUGCCACUUAUUAGCUAUGUGAUCAAAGGUAAAUUAGUUAAUCUCUCUGACCCUCCAUUUCCUCAUUUGUAUAACAAUAAUGUCCAAUUAUUCCACAAAUAUUUUAUGGAAAGCCAAGUAUUAACUAAGAACUAUGUUCAAUGAUGAAGAUAUAAAAAACCAUUUAUUCAUUCAUUCAUCAAAUACUGCCUUACCGUUUACUGAGUUAGGCCCUGGAAAUACAGUAAUAAGGGGGAAAAAAAGCACGAAACUGUAUGAGACCACUUAGAUUAUGCAGAUAUAGGUGAAAAUAAGGCCCAAGACCAAGAAGUCCAAAGGUACUCAACUUGUGGAAGUAAGAUAGAGAAGGAAAAAGAAGAAAACUAAGUGUAAAGUGCUGUAAACUGAAAGAAGAGAGUGUUUUAAAAAGAGGGACUGGUCACCUCUCCUAAUGGAGAAGUGUGUUUGUAAAGGAGUUAUUAUAAUGAUGAGCCAUGAAAUCUAAGCUGGACAAGGCAGGAAAUUUGAGGGCUGUAAGUGGUGAAAAAAGUCAAUGAACUGGAGAUUUCAGUAAGAUUGGAGAGUGGCUGUCUUCAGGGUACUAGAGGUGGUGAGCUGGAAGGACAGGAAAUGAUUGAAUGAGAAUAACUUGCUUGAAAUAAAGAUUUCAGAAGUCAUACUAAUAUUGGCAAGAGCAAGGUCUAGAGGAGUAAAAGGCAACUGAAUGUGAGUUGGUUAAGGAAUUAGAAAGUAGCAUACAGACAGUCCUAGCGUGGCAUAGUAGAAUAUGACUAUAAAAAUGACCAUGGAAGUUGAAAUUGUGCAAAGUGAUCUUAAUAAUCAAAGAGAAAAAUUAAAUUGUUCUGUGACACUUAAGAACUUUUGUUGAAACAUCAAAAACUCUCUUACUGCUAGGUAGACAUAUAUCACGAAUUUUUUUUAAUUGUAAAACUAAUUUAUUUAGUAUGCCAUAAUUUAAAACAUGAGAAACAUGGAGAAUCAGUCUUUAUUCUUUGUAAAAAACAAAAGAAAACAAAAAAACUUACCAAUAGUGGUGUGAACUGUGUUUGCCUCUUCUCAUAUGAUUAAUCUUCUGUCUUCAUAAAUUGUCAUUCUGCAUUCUAAGUUUAGAUUAGCUUCCAACAUUUUGUCUUUGCAUUUUCAAUCUUGUGAACUAUUCUCAGGAAUUCUUAAAUACAAAGUGUAUCAGCAACACUUCCUGUGGGCCUCUUCACCCUUUUGUCACAGCCACUUUACUCUCUUAACAUUAAUCAAUUCAUAAAAUGAUGAAACCAGAAUUUACUGGCUGAAAAAGGUUUUUAUUUAGUCUCUUUGUAAUUAUCAUUUUCUUUCAGCAAGACAACCAACUUCAACACUUCGCCCGAAUGCUAGCCAGACUGAUUGGGAAUAAAUUUAAAUGUAUUACAGUCUUCAAUCAAAAGCAGGAACAAGUCUUUAUAUCAGCCAUAAUUUGCAUUCUCUUUCUAGUGCAAUUUAAACUAAAAGAUCCUGAAGCAACUUUACCUUCUUUUUUCUACUCACUGAACAUUUUCUCCGUGGUGUCUAUGGUGCGUUUUGCGUAGGCUGAGGUCUCAUCCUAUCUUUGCUUUGCUUUUGUCAUUUUCAAAUUCCCUAAUCACGUCUAAUUUCAUUUCAGCAUUUUUUUUAUUCGCUGUACUUUCAUCUUUCUUGUCCAAUUCCCUUUUAAUUAUCCAUUUUUGUAAAAUAUCAUGUUAGUUUAUCACUGGGAAACAAGGAAGCUAUACAACUACAUGCUUUGCUGUUUAUAAACUGAAAAACUGAGUAACGGUCGUGCAGUGACCAAUAACUGACAGACUCUGAAAGAAGGAUUGUGAUAUCUGCUAUGGACUGAAUGUUUGUGCCUCACCCACAAAUUCAUAAAUUGAAGCCCUAAUUCCCAGUGUGAUGGUAUUUGGAAGUGAGAACUUUGGGAGGUGAUUAGAUUUAGAUGCGUUCAUGAGAGUAGAGUUCCCACGAUGGGGAUUAAUAUCCUUUCAAAAAGAAGAGACCCAAGAUUCAUAUUCCUUUUCUCUCUCUCCCCUGCCCCCACCCCCACCAAGGAAAGACCAUGUAAGGACAUAACCAGGAAGAGGGCUCUCACCAAGAACCCCACCACGCUGGCACCCUGAUCUCAGACUUUCAGCCUCUAGAACCUUAAUAAAAAAUAUUUGUUGUUUAAGCAA
This is a non-coding RNA of Macaca mulatta (Rhesus monkey), 4161 nucleotides long. The record is from RefSeq and is a predicted model, not a curated record. NCBI's taxonomy places the organism in Eukaryota, Metazoa, Chordata, Mammalia, Primates, Cercopithecidae.